RNAcentral lists this ribosomal RNA (253 nucleotides) under uncultured bacterium. RNAcentral's name for it is "partial 16S ribosomal RNA". It matches the Rfam family "Bacterial small subunit ribosomal RNA", at positions 524 to 776 of the family's 1533-position model. The record is from RNAcentral.
UACGAAGGGGGCUAGCGUUGCUCGGAAUCACUGGGCGUAAAGCGCACGUAGGCGGACUCUUAAGUCAGGGGUGAAAUCCUGGAGCUCAACUCCAGAACUGCCUUUGAUACUGGCAACCUUGAGUCCGGGAGAGGUGAGUGGAACUGCGAGUGUAGAGGUGAAAUUCGUAGAUAUUCGCAAGAACACCAGUGGCGAAGGCGGCUCACUGGCCCGGUACUGACGCUGAGGUGCGAAAGCGUGGGGAGCAAACAGG